AUUCCAGCUCCAAUAGCGUAUAUUAAAGUUGUUGCAGUUAAAAAGCUCGUAGUUGGAUUUCUGUGAGAGUGCCGGUGUCGGCUGAUGCUUGUACGCAGGCGCUCUUACAUCCUUCUGUUAACUGUUCUUGGCAUUUUAUUGCUGGUUCAGGGCUCAGAUAUUUUACCUUGAGAAAAUUAGAGUGUUUCAGGCAGGCUUAUGCCGGAAUACAUUAGCAUGGAAUAAUGGAACAGGACCUGUGCGUCUCUCGGGGCGCCGGUCUCCGUUGUUGGUUUCGGGGACUAAUGUAAUGAUUAAUAGGGAUAGUUGGGGGCAUUAGUAUUUAAUAGUCAGAGGUGAAAUUCUCGGAUUUGUUAAAGACUAACUUAUGCGAAAGCAUUUGCCAAGGAUGUUUUCAUUG
RNAcentral lists this ribosomal RNA (400 nucleotides) under Holosticha sp. RNAcentral's name for it is "partial small subunit ribosomal RNA". It matches the Rfam family "Eukaryotic small subunit ribosomal RNA", at positions 582 to 975 of the family's 1831-position model. The record is from RNAcentral. Lineage: Eukaryota; Ciliophora; Spirotrichea; Urostylida; Holostichidae.